AAAGCCAUUUUAACGUACUAAAACAUUUUACCAUCCUAGUAUAGGCGAUAGAAAAGACCUUCAGAGCAAUACAGAAAGUACCGCAAGGGAAAGCUGAAAAAGAAGUGAAACAACCCAAGGAAGCCAGAAAAAGCAGAGAUUCAACCUCGUACCUUUUGCAUCAUGAUCUAGCAAGAAAGCCCAAGCGAAGAGAGCUUAAGUUUGACCCCCCGAAACCUGGGGAGCUACUUCGGAGCAGCCCAAAGGGGCAAACCCGUCUCUGUGGCAAAAGAGUGGGGAGACUCCCGAGUAGAGGUGACAAGCCUACCGAACCUGGUGAUAGCUGGUUGCCCGGAAAAUGAAUGUAAGUUCAGCGUUAUAAAAUUCUGACAUUGUAAAUGAAAAAAGAAGUAAGAUAUAACAGUUAGUCAAAAGCGGUACAGCUCUUUUGAAAAAGGAUACAACCUUAUUAGGCGGAAAAGGAUUAAAAACUUAAGGCACCUCCCCCAGUGGGCCUAAAAGCAGCCACCUGG
This 512-nucleotide ribosomal RNA is filed under the name Gymnothorax isingteena. RNAcentral's name for it is "partial 16S ribosomal RNA". It matches the Rfam family "Bacterial large subunit ribosomal RNA", at positions 176 to 1123 of the family's 2925-position model. Lineage: Eukaryota; Metazoa; Chordata; Actinopteri; Anguilliformes; Muraenidae. The record is from RNAcentral.